GAAACUGAAGUGCUUUGAAAAAUUUCAUAACUAUUUUGAACAAUAUAGCUCUUAUUUUGAAAUUAAAAAUGCGACAAAAGUCAACUGGCGAAAAAUAAAAGAUAAUGCAUUGUUCUUUGUUCAGACAUGCUACCAUGAAGCUUUCAGGGCUCUGGUGGUUUUGACAGUCCAAUUGUUGAGGCACGCUCCUCGGCUUAAGGCUUGUAUGGAAGGGUCUUCCUUCCCCUCCUCCUCGAAAAUGACAUAACAAUUCAUGUCAUCCUCCUCCAAAAACAAAUCCCUCAUCGCUGCCAGUGUUUCCUCUUCUUCUGAUCUGCUCCAAACUUGGUAUCGGCUGAUCUAGCGGUAAUAAAGAACCACGCCAUGGUAGCGACUGUCACACCUCGUUUUACCUACUCUAAGAAGGGUAUAAGGAGUUUUCUUCAAUUAAAGUGACAAUCGAAGCAGGAUUAAUUAUUUAAAAUUCAUAGUCACCACUUAGAAUAAUUAUGGUGUCCCAAGUUACCGAUUUAUAAUCCUAAAUCGAGGAAAGGAUUGAGUAUGUAUUACAGUCCACGAACCAGAAACCCGAGUAAGGAAUUAUGUUAACCCGGGAGAAGUGUUAGGCAUUCCCGAGUUCCGUGGUUCUAGCACGGUCGCUCAACUAUUAUAAUCGGCUUAAUUAUCUGAUUUUAAAAUAUUUUGAACCUAUUUGCAUUUUUACUUUAUAUUUCUUUUAAUUCAUUUUUAGGAAGAUUUCAAUAUUAUACAAAACACGUCUUUGGAUCACGCCACAUGAAGCACCCACGAUGAGUGACAAAUUUUAUUUAACAUUAUUAGGAUUUAUAUUUGGGUCACAUUAAAUGAACACCCGAGUUUAGGAAGGUAAUUUAAAAUAACAGCAUAAAGCAACUAUGCAUUUUUAACUUUGCAAAGGCCAUGAAAAAUUUGCCAAAUAGCACGCUUCGAGUUCUAAGGAUUUAAUAAGAGAUAACUAAAUGAGGGUCAUGCAUUUUUAAAUUUUAUUUGACAUGGUACACCUCAAUCUAGGCCAAAUCAAUCAAAGCAACACCUUGGGUUCUUUAUCCAAAUAUCAAACCAAUUAUAAGAGGCCAAAUUAAUGAAACAAGUAUAUAUGUCUUCCUUUUCUCAUUCAUUUUAAUUUAUAAAGAAAAAAAUACAGUUAACAUAGGCACGUCACAUAUCUGAAACUGAAACUGAAACUUUGCAAUUGAAAUAGCCAAGAAUUUUACAAUCAAAAACAGACAAACCAUAAGAGAUUACGAUUUCAAAACUUGCCAACCACAAUAAUAACAAUGAAAUUCAGCAAGUAAAACACAAAACAAACCAUAAGAAAUUAAAGACUCCUUCAUACAGAUUUCACAAAAAACCAAAACAUGUGUUUCAUAACAUAGUACCAGAAUAAGAAUACUAUGAAAGACUAAACUUCAUGCUAACGAAAAUAGCAGUGUUAUCGAGCAGAAACAGCAGGACAGAUCGAAACCACGAACCUCAGAUGGAACUGAAAUCGGCAACUUUGCGACUGAACACAGACCUCACGUGUACUGGAAAUGAGUUGACGGAAAACAUGUAUAUUUGGUCAGAUCCGUCAUCCUCGUCACAGCGGUAAUAAAGAAAAACAGAUGGACAAGGGAGAAAGAAGAACAGUUGCCGUCGCCGGAGCUCAAAACCGAAUAGAUCGGCGUUGAAGCUUCACUCUCCGAUCUGAACCUUCGAGCCAAACUCCAACGAUAAGUAUCGAUUUCUCCAACAAGUGUAGCUCCAUUUGGUUGCGACAGUAGGUUGUGAGUAUGGUUGCUGAAGGAUGUGAGGAUGAAGAAGAAGACCGGCGGGGUGGGAUCGCUUUUCUGUUCUCCGCAGCUUCCCGCUUUUCUGAUGCCUAGGGUUGCUUUUGUGUCCUCAUGAAGAAGAAAAAGUGUGGGUAAGGGGCACUUUGGAGAAGAUGAUGCGGGGGAGGGGUGUCUGUGGUAUUGCGGCCGAAGCUUCCUCCUCUUCUCUAGGAUUUUUGUUAUGGUUCCUAGUAUUGUGAAGAAGAUGAGUCCAUUAGGUUUUCACAUAACGGCUAAAGCUCCAAAUUGUCUAGGGUUCAUUUUUAAAGCUUUUUCUAGAGUUGUAGUGGUAUUGGGCUUGGUUCGGAUCAACCCGUUUGGGGUUGGGUAAGGAGAUGGAGUAGUUUAAGUGAAGGAGUGGUAUUGAAAGAUUUGGGCUCACUCAUUACAUAGCCCAAUUUCGAAUUUAAGACCAAGCUUUGCAAUUUCCUUUUCUUUUUGUUUUCUUUUCUUUAUUUAUUUAAUUAAAACUUAAAUUAAA
This 2310-nucleotide long non-coding RNA is filed under the name Nicotiana benthamiana. RNAcentral's name for it is "long non-coding RNA (NBEN_LNC021611)". Lineage: Eukaryota; Viridiplantae; Streptophyta; Magnoliopsida; Solanales; Solanaceae. The record is from RNAcentral.